CUCAUAUAAAAUUGAUUCACUUGGAGUUUGGGCUAGGAAAAACGUGUCUCAAUGGAUCUGAGAAUAUUGUGCGUUAAAAGUGACCAAAAGAGAGUGAUUCAACGAGUGUCUCAAGAAAUGUUUGACAUGAAAGAAAGAUGGUGUUCAGAAGGUCCAUUCAACCAUGGACUGGGUAAAGCACUCUAACCACAAGGCCACUGUUUUGGUACCUGUUUUGGUCAUCUAGGUGCCGGUGCUUAUUUGACUUGGAAAGCACUCUCCCCCGCAUCCAGUGGUCACGGACCGUUGCAUCAGGGAUCCUAGUGUUGUUUUUGACCGUACGUGUGCCACAUCACAGAGCUGCAGUGAGAUGAUCAGGAGCCGUAUGUAUAAAGUGUCUCGCAGCAUGAGUG
RNAcentral lists this long non-coding RNA (392 nucleotides) under Salmo salar (Atlantic salmon). RNAcentral's name for it is "lncRNA (ENSSSAG00000102552.1)". Lineage: Eukaryota; Metazoa; Chordata; Actinopteri; Salmoniformes; Salmonidae. The record is from RNAcentral.